GUUCACCCAUUCUCCCAGCUGUAAACCUACCUCAGGCUAGUUGUGAUUUGUAAUUAUCCCCUGAACUGUUUACUUCCAGAUUAUAUUAAAUGAAAUCUAAGUUAUCAUGUCACAUCACUACGAAUAUUUCCAUCAGACAGGGCUGUUUGACUGUAGAGGUUCCUCUUCUAUAGGAAAGAAGUCUACAGGGGCAAAGCGCUCUGUUUAAGCUUAUAUAUGUUUUUAAAUUUGAAGUUGCAUUAUAUGUGUAUAUGUGUGUACGUGCAUGUGUGCGUGGGUGUGUGCAUGCCACAAUGCCCAUGUGAAGGUCAGAAUGAACAGCUUGUGGGAGCUGAUUCUAUCCUCUGCCGUGUAGGUCCUGGUGACUCAGGUAAUUAGGCUGGGUGGCAAGUGCCUUUACCCUCUGAGCCAUCUCGUUUAAGCUUAUAAUUAUAUUUAUGUCAUAACGUUUCUUUUCGUUUUCAAAACCAUUUAAGAUAUUUUAUAAAAAAAACCCGUGAAUGCAUUAGAAGGCAAAGACAGCGAGACAGCAUCAUCCUGCUUCUGUAUCUCGUCUUCAUCUUCUACACCUUGUCCCAUUGGAUGCUUUAAAAAGGAUCCUACACUUUUGCUUCUAAGUUUUUAGACUUUUCUGCAUUAAGAUUCUAUUUUUGAGAUUGUAAUUUAAUUACAUUUCUGCCUUCCAUUUCUUCCCUCCAAAUCUCAUAUGCCACUCCCUGCUGUCUUAAUUCAUUACCUCUAUUUUCAUUAAUUGGUAUUGUAUGCGAUAUGUACAAUAAGUAUUUGUAUAUAGACAUAUUACUGUGUAAAACCUGUUGGGUCCGUAUAAUGUUGCUUGAAUGCAUGCUGGUAUAGCCUGGUAGAAUUUCAUGAAGGAGGCAGAGGCAGGAGGAUCUAGGGUUUAAAACUACCUUGUUUAUUUUCUUUUAAAACAACAGAAAGAAAGAAAUGUUUAGAUAAAUGACAAAAUCUGUUGUUGAUGAAAUAGUCUAUUUAAUUUAAAAUGGAAACAAACAUUUCUUAGCUUUUAAAAAAAUCACUUCUCCGUCUAAUGUUUGGCUGUGAGUCUCUGUGCCCACCUUCCUCUAAACAUAUGUAGCUGGUGUGCACCUUGGUCUUCAUGCUGUCCCCUAAUGUCUGGAGCAGGGCCUUACCCUG
RNAcentral lists this long non-coding RNA (1158 nucleotides) under Mus musculus (house mouse). RNAcentral describes it as "long non-coding RNA chr4:83602616-83603774". The record is from RNAcentral. Lineage: Eukaryota; Metazoa; Chordata; Mammalia; Rodentia; Muridae.